CCAGACUCCUACGGGAGGCAGCAGUGAGGAAUAUUGGUCAAUGGACGGAAGUCUGAACCAGCCAUGCCGCGUGCAGGAAGACGGCUCUAUGAGUUGUAAACUGCUUUUGUACAAGGGUAAACCUGAAUACGUGUAUUCAGCUGAAAGUACUGUACGAAUAAGCAUCGGCUAACUCCGUGCCAGCAGCCGCGGUAAUACGGAGGAUGCGAGCGUUAUCCGGAUUUAUUGGGUUUAAAGGGUGCGUAGGCGGGCAUUUAAGCCGGCGGUCAAAUGUCGGGGCUCAACCCCGGCCUGCCGUCGGAACUGGGUGCCUUGAGUGGGCGAGAAGUAUGCGGAAUGCGUGGUGUAGCGGUGAAAUGCAUAGAUGUCACGCAGAACCCCGAUUGCGAAGGCAGCAUACCGGCGCCCUACUGACGCUGAGGCACGAAAGUGCGGGUAUCGAACAGGAUUAGAUACCCCAGUA
RNAcentral lists this ribosomal RNA (463 nucleotides) under uncultured bacterium. RNAcentral's name for it is "bacterial SSU rRNA". It matches the Rfam family "Bacterial small subunit ribosomal RNA", at positions 331 to 792 of the family's 1533-position model. The record is from RNAcentral.